GUACACAAAAAUGCACAUGCUGUGAGCUCGAUGAGUAGGGCGGGACACGUGGUAUCCUGUCUGAAUAUGGGGGGACCAUCCUCCAAGGCUAAAUACUCCUGACUGACCGAUAGUGAACCAGUACCGUGAGGGAAAGGCGAAAAGAACCCCGGCGAGGGGAGUGAAAAAGAACCUGAAACCGUGUACGUACAAGCAGUGGGAGCACGCUUAGGCGUGUGACUGCGUACCUUUUGUAUAAUGGGUCAGCGACUUAUAUUCUGUAGCAAGGUUAACCGAAUAGGGGAGCCGAAGGGAAACCGAGUCUUAACUGGGCGUUAAGUUGCAGGGUAUAGACCCGAAACCCGGUGAUCUAGCCAUGGGCAGGUUGAAGGUUGGGUAACACUAACUGGAGGACCGAACCGACUAAUGUUGAAAAAUUAGCGGAUGACUUGUGGCUGGGGGUGAAAGGCCAAUCAAACCGGGAGAUAGCUGGUUCUCCCCGAAAGCUAUUUAGGUAGCGCCUCGUGAAUUCAUCUCCGGGGGUAGAGCACUGUUUCGGCAAGGGGGUCAUCCCGACUUACCAACCCGAUGCAAACUGCGAAUACCGGAGAAUGUUAUCACGGGAGACACACGGCGGGUGCUAACGUCCGUCGUGAAGAGGGAAACAACCCAGACCGCCAGCUAAGGUCCCAAAGUCAUGGUUAAGUGGGAAACGAUGUGGGAAGGCCCAGACAGCCAGGAUGUUGGCUUAGAAGCAGCCAUCAUUUAAAGAAAGCGUAAUAGCUCACUGGUCGAGUCGGCCUGCGCGGAAGAUGUAACGGGGCUAAACCAUGCACCGAAGCUGCGGCAGCGACACUGUGUGUUGUUGGGUAGGGGAGCGUUCUGUAAGCCUGCGAAGGUGUGCUGUGAGGCAUGCUGGAGGUAUCAGAAGUGCGAAUGCUGACAUAAGUAACGAUAAAGCGGGUGAAAAGCCCGCUCGCCGGAAGACCAAGGGUUCCUGUCCAACGUUAAUCGGGGCAGGGUGAGUCGACCCCUAAGGCGAGGCCGAAAGGCGUAGUCGAUGGGAAACAGGUUAAUAUUCCUGUACUUGGUGUUACUGCGAAGGGGGGACGGAGAAGGCUAUGUUGGCCGGGCGACGGUUGUCCCGGUUUAAGCGUGUAGGCUGGUUUUCCAGGCAAAUCCGGAAAAUCAAGGCUGAGGCGUGAUGACGAGGCACUACGGUGCUGAAGCAACAAAUGCCCUGCUUCCAGGAAAAGCCUCUAAGCAUCAGGUAACAUCAAAUCGUACCCCAAACCGACACAGGUGGUCAGGUAGAGAAUACCAAGGCGCUUGAGAGAACUCGGGUGAAGGAACUAGGCAAAAUGGUGCCGUAACUUCGGGAGAAGGCACGCUGAUAUGUAGGUGAAGUCCCUCGCGGAUGGAGCUGAAAUCAGUCGAAGAUACCAGCUGGCUGCAACUGUUUAUUAAAAACACAGCACUGUGCAAACACGAAAGUGGACGUAUACGGUGUGACGCCUGCCCGGUGCCGGAAGGUUAAUUGAUGGGGUCAGCGCAAGCGAAGCUCUUGAUCGAAGCCCCGGUAAACGGCGGCCGUAACUAUAACGGUCCUAAGGUAGCGAAAUUCCUUGUCGGGUAAGUUCCGACCUGCACGAAUGGCGUAAUGAUGGCCAGGCUGUCUCCACCCGAGACUCAGUGAAAUUGAACUCGCUGUGAAGAUGCAGUGUACCCGCGGCAAGACGGAAAGACCCCGUGAACCUUUACUAUAGCUUGACACUGAACAUUGAGCCUUGAUGUGUAGGAUAGGUGGGAGGCUUUGAAGUGUGGACGCCAGUCUGCAUGGAGCCGACCUUGAAAUACCACCCUUUAAUGUUUGAUGUUCUAACGUUGACCCGUGAUCCGGGUUGCGGACAGUGUCUGGUGGGUAGUUUGACUGGGGCGGUCUCCUCCUAAAGAGUAACGGAGGAGCACGAAGGUUGGCUAAUCCUGGUCGGACAUCAGGAGGUUAGUGCAAUGGCAUAAGCCAGCUUGACUGCGAGCGUGACGGCGCGAGCAGGUGCGAAAGCAGGUCAUAGUGAUCCGGUGGUUCUGAAUGGAAGGGCCAUCGCUCAACGGAUAAAAGGUACUCCGGGGAUAACAGGCUGAUACCGCCCAAGAGUUCAUAUCGACGGCGGUGUUUGGCACCUCGAUGUCGGCUCAUCACAUCCUGGGGCUGAAGUAGGUCCCAAGGGUAUGGCUGUUCGCCAUUUAAAGUGGUACGCGAGCUGGGUUUAGAACGUCGUGAGACAGUUCGGUCCCUAUCUGCCGUGGGCGCUGGAGAACUGAGGGGGGCUGCUCCUAGUACGAGAGGACCGGAGUGGACGCAUCACUGGUGUUCGGGUUGUCAUGCCAAUGGCACUGCCCGGUAGCUAAAUGCGGAAGAGAUAAGUGCUGAAAGCAUCUAAGCACGAAACUUGCCCCGAGAUGAGUUCUCCCUGACUCCUUGAGAGUCCUGAAGGAACGUUGAAGACGACGACGUUGAUAGGCCGGGUGUGUAAGCGCAGCGAUGCGUUGAGCUAACCGGUACUAAUGAACCGUGAGGCUUAACCUUACAACGCCGAAG
RNAcentral lists this ribosomal RNA (2578 nucleotides) under Escherichia coli. Its description in RNAcentral is "partial 23S ribosomal RNA". It matches the Rfam family "Bacterial large subunit ribosomal RNA", at positions 375 to 2925 of the family's 2925-position model. Lineage: Bacteria; Pseudomonadati; Pseudomonadota; Gammaproteobacteria; Enterobacterales; Enterobacteriaceae. The record is from RNAcentral.